GGCUGUAGCUCAGUGGUGAAGCCAUCCGCCUUGCAUGGAGAAGGUCCUUGGUUCAAUCCCAGGUAGGGCUG
Non-coding RNA from Podarcis lilfordi (Lilford's wall lizard), 71 nucleotides. The record is from the annotation of a GenBank genome assembly. Lineage: Eukaryota; Metazoa; Chordata; Lepidosauria; Squamata; Lacertidae.